This 104-nucleotide small nuclear RNA is filed under the name Rhodnius prolixus. Lineage: Eukaryota; Metazoa; Arthropoda; Insecta; Hemiptera; Reduviidae. The record is from RNAcentral.
AUAAGAAUGUCCUUGAAUUAACUCCGUAGGAAGGAUACAGAGAAGAUUAGGAUGGCCUCUGUGCAAGGAUGGCACGCUUCGAUAUAGAAUUAAUAACAAUAAAU